UUCUAUAUCAGUUUCUUGAUUGUGAGGGAUCUAAUAUUGAAAAGGGUAAAACAAAGAGGCAGAUACUAUCGCUUGGUGCUGGAUUUGAUACCACCAAUUUUCAAUUGCAGGAUGAGGGAAAAGCAUCGUAUCUAUACGUGGAACUGGAUUUUAAAGAGGUAACCAGUAAAAAGGCUUCCCUUAUUGAAUCCUACAGUCAGUUGAGGGACAAAAUUGGUGCAACAGCAUCAAUCUUGCGAGAGAAUGGAGAAGUGCUCAGUGAACACUACAAGCUACUUUCAGUUGAUUUGCAUGACAUUCAUAUCUUUGCAGAGUUCAUAUCAGUAGCGUUACAAGCAAUGGGCUAAUUAUUACAAUCAAACGGAAGUUACUUGUGCCCCUGGAACAUAAAUAGAAUUGUACAGGAAUUGUUAUCAAAGUAAUGCUAAAGGAUUUGCUUAAGUGGGUAGAGGGAUAGGAAUGGAUUUCUUUAUAAACUGUUAUCCAAUUAAUGCUUGUUGUGUGUGA
Molecule: long non-coding RNA, 507 nt
Organism: Gossypium arboreum
Lineage: Eukaryota; Viridiplantae; Streptophyta; Magnoliopsida; Malvales; Malvaceae
Exons: 4
Source: RefSeq, a predicted model, not a curated record